AGGAACAAGAAAACCGAGAGAGAAUUUACCAUAACGCACUCAAAGUUUUUAUGUUUGAUUUUCAGUUCAAUGGACAACAGUUAUGGUAUGUAACCGAAAUGUGUGUUUAAACACAGAGAUGCAAACUCUGCUACCUCAUUAUCAGUUGAAGUAGUUAAAAAAAAAAAAAAAACGUAUUGAAAUUUUUGUUUGAUGAAUAUUUUUAAUUGUUGGAGGGAUGUACUUCCGACAUGCUAACAUUCAAUAUGCUCAAUCCGUUCCCUUACAGUACAAUGUAUCAUUGUUAUUGUAUACUUGAUAUUUUAGUGUGGAUGCUGCCAGAGAGGAUGGAUCACUAGGGAGACUGGUAAAUGACGACGAAGUGAACCCAAACAGCAAAAUUAAAGUUACAAGAGUGGAUGGAAGACCCCAUCUGUGUUUAUUCGCAAUCAAAGAUAUUGGUUCAGGGGAAGAAAUCACUUAUAACUAUGGUAAUUCGGAUUGGCCAUGGAGAAGCAAGGUAGUUAUAUAAAGUUUAUAUAAAGUUAUCUUAAGUAGAAAUAGUAGUAUAGAGUGGUUAAAGGGGUCAUAUAAUGGUAUGUUUUUUCCAGUCAGAUUUGAGCCGUUCGACCUAGUGACAUCACUUUAUCGGACGCCACUCUCACGAUUGAUAAUUGACAAGAUGAGACUUAUUUAGACUUGACUAUUUCAACUUGUUCAGUCCUAUUCAAAAUGUUAGAAACUGACAAGUAAACAGAUUUCUGUUGACCUUAUUUAUCAAUAUAAACUAAUAUGAGGUAUAUCUUGAAGUGUCUAAACUCAUAGGUCCUGUGUAAUCCUCACCAUGUAAGGUUCAGACAUUAGCAGGUCUGUUAGUUUUGUGCAUUAGAUAUGAACUCAUGAGAAUGAUAUUAAGUAGUAGUAUUGAGACGCACGGUCCUGUGUAACCAUUAAGGUACAAACUCUCGAUGACUUUUCGUCUCUUGAUUAGUUUAGACUUCCAAAGAGAUGCCAUGUCAGGCUGCUGAUGUGGACAAAUGCAGUUCCUUUGCAGUCAUUCCAAAGACUUCCAAAGAGAUGCCAUGUCAGGCUGCUGAUGUGGACAAAUGCAGUUCCUUUGCAGUCAUUCCAAAGACUUCCAAAGAGAUGCCAUGUCAGGCUGCUGAUGUGGACAAAUGCAGUUCCUUUGCAGUCAUUCCAAAGACUUCCAAAGAGAAGCCAUGUCAGGCUGCUGAUGUGGACAAAUGCAGUUCCUUUGCAGUCAUUCCAAAGACUUCCAAAGAGAAGCCAUGUCAGGCUGCUGAUGUGGACAAAUGCAGUUCCUUUGCAGUCAUUCCAAAGGUAAUUUUUGAACUUCAAUGACUUUACUGUAGAUAUGAACUCAUGAGAAUGAUAUUAAGUAGUAGUAUUGAGACGCACAGGUCUUGUGUAGUCCUCAAAUUUACAAGUCAAAGAGGACUUGAGUAAAUUCAGUUGAGUCUUCUGAAGGUUUUUUCUUUUUUUUUUUUUUUUUUGCUUGAUCUAUCACAAUAUUUCUUCUAUCAUUUUUUUGAAAUGUGAUUGUUGUGACCCCCUAAAAAAUUGCCCCACACAGUUGUGGUGUGAAAUCUUUUCCUAUCUGUAUAACAAUAUUCUUGAUGGACUGGCACCAAAUGUUCCUGGUUCUAUACAAUGCCGUUCUAUAAGUCCCCAGUGAGUGUACCUUUGUUUUGUUUUGUAACAUUUAUCAUACUGUGUACUGUUGAAAGGUGACAGAGAAUGAAAAAAACGUUUUUGCCUUGUCUUAGUUGAAUAACAGUAGUCUACCCGCAUACACGAACAUACAAAAAGUGCUAGACAUUCUGAACAUCUCCGUUUCAUAGAAAUUCAUCCUUUAGAAAACGGCCCAAUCUAAACAACGGGUACAUAUUAUGUAACGUGUCUCACUGCCCCUCCGCUUCAAAAUAAUUUUCAUACAUCUACG
Molecule: long non-coding RNA, 1942 nt
Organism: Cyprinus carpio carpio
Lineage: Eukaryota; Metazoa; Chordata; Actinopteri; Cypriniformes; Cyprinidae
Source: Ensembl